CCCCUUUUAAAAGCACUCCGUGGGCCUUUGUGCCAGUGGCCCACUGAGCCGUCAAGAAGGGGCAGAGUGAAAACACCGCUUUUGGGUGAAGUGGCAACACGUGUUGUUUGCUUCAAUCGGUGUUGUGACAUGA
This is a small nucleolar RNA of Meriones unguiculatus (Mongolian gerbil), 133 nucleotides long. Lineage: Eukaryota; Metazoa; Chordata; Mammalia; Rodentia; Muridae. The record is from Ensembl.